RNAcentral lists this transfer RNA (71 nucleotides) under Mastacembelus armatus (zig-zag eel). It matches the Rfam family "tRNA". From Rfam's summary of the family: Transfer RNA (tRNA) molecules are approximately 80 nucleotides in length. Their secondary structure includes four short double-helical elements and three loops (D, anti-codon, and T loops). Lineage: Eukaryota; Metazoa; Chordata; Actinopteri; Synbranchiformes; Mastacembelidae. The record is from Rfam by way of RNAcentral.
GGAGCUGUGCCUGAAUAUAAAGGAUUACUUUGAUAGAGUAAAUAAUGGAGGUUCAAGUCCUCCCAACUCCU